RNAcentral lists this unclassified non-coding RNA (386 nucleotides) under Hevea brasiliensis (rubber tree). The record is from RNAcentral. Lineage: Eukaryota; Viridiplantae; Streptophyta; Magnoliopsida; Malpighiales; Euphorbiaceae.
GCCAGCAGCAUCUUAGCAGUGUACUUAUUGGGAAUAUUUUUAAUCAUGAUGGUUGUUCGGGGGUCUUCACCACGACUGAUACGCUCAAGAUCAAGCCCAUUUUGCCCAUUAUCAGCUUGAUCAUGUGAUUUGUCAGGCUUUCUACUGAAAAAGAUUUUCUGCCUAGGUUUAGGACUUCCAAAAUGUGCGGGGUCUUUAUUUUCGCCACGAGCAUGCAAGCUGUUACGAGAACCAAGUUCCUGCCGAUGCACAGGACAGUUGCCAGAAAGCUCCUUACUUCCAAGAGAAUGUGGACGUAAUGCAGGGGAAUCUGUUGAAUCGUCUAGAAAAGUUCGUUGCAAGUGCCAGUACAAGGGAUCUGAAAUUAUCUCUGAACGCAAACUGUG